This 497-nucleotide long non-coding RNA is filed under the name Salmo salar (Atlantic salmon). Its description in RNAcentral is "lncRNA (ENSSSAG00000084118.1)". Lineage: Eukaryota; Metazoa; Chordata; Actinopteri; Salmoniformes; Salmonidae. The record is from RNAcentral.
CUCAGAGCCGUUCCCACUUCCACUCUUACUGAUAUUGGGCUCUAAGGAGUCCACUUUGAAGUGGACAAGACAAUCCCCCCCCCAAUUUUUUUUUUGUGUAGACCACUACUAUAAGAGUAGUUGCUGCUUUGAGCAUUCCUUGUAGAAGCUGUGGAAUAUCUGUCAUUGUUUUGGUGCUGUAUCAGAAUCACAAAUAGGCUGUACCUGAUGGAGGGGAGAGAGAGCAGAGCUGCUGAUGGACGAAUAGAGGCCUGCAUGGUUGUGAGGUUCCUCUGUCUGAGCUGUAGCACUGGCUCCUAUCUGGGUCUCAUCAGGCUGCUCCAGGCCUGAGAGGAGGAGGCAUGAGUGGAACAGGGCUAAGGAGUAAAUGAAAGAGCUCAAGGUCCAGAGGAGAGGAUGUGAUCUUUAGAAGAGGAUAACAGGUCCACAGCUGCUUGACGUCCUCUCACACAAGCCAGAGAUUCUACUGGGAAGGGACUGGUCAUACAGUAGUUAAG